RNAcentral lists this non-coding RNA (82 nucleotides) under Alexandrium margalefii. Lineage: Eukaryota; Dinophyceae; Gonyaulacales; Pyrocystaceae. The record is from RNAcentral.
UCACAGCGCUCACACAGGGAGCUUGCUCCCAUAGAUGCUGUGUGGAAAGUCCCCGUGCCAAAGGGCAGAGAGUGCCAGUGGG